RNAcentral lists this ribosomal RNA (816 nucleotides) under metagenome. Its description in RNAcentral is "bacterial SSU rRNA". It matches the Rfam family "Bacterial small subunit ribosomal RNA", at positions 701 to 1520 of the family's 1533-position model. The record is from RNAcentral.
AAGGAAUACCGAUUGCGAAGGCGAUCUACUGGAACAUUACUGACGCUCAGAUGCGAAAGCGUGGGGAGCAAACAGGAUUAGAUACCCUGGUAGUCCACGCCCUAAACGAUGUACACUAGUUGUUGCUAUACUAGAUAUGGCAGUAAUGCAGUUAACACUUUAAGUGUACCGCCUGGGGAGUACGGUCGCAAGAUUAAAACUCAAAGGAAUAGACGGGGACCCGCACAAGCGGUGGAGCAUGUGGUUUAAUUCGACGAUACGCGAAAAACCUUACCUGGCCUUGACAUAGUAGGAAUCUUUAAGAGAUUAGAGAGUGCUAGCUUGCUAGAACCUACAUACAGGUGCUGCACGGCUGUCGUCAGCUCGUGUCGUGAGAUGUUGGGUUAAGUCCCGCAACGAGCGCAACCCACGUGAUUAGUUGCUAACGGUUCGGCCGAGAACUCUAAUCAGACUGCCUUCGUAAGGAGGAGGAAGGUGUGGACGACGUCAAGUCAUCAUGGCCCUUACGGCCAGGGCUACACACGUGCUACAAUGGGAUAUACAAAGAGUCGCAAUACCGCGAGGUGGAGCAAAUCUAGAAAAUAUCUCCCAGUUCGGAUUGUUCUCUGCAACUCGAGAACAUGAAGUUGGAAUCGCUAGUAAUCGUGGAUCAGCAUUGCCACGGUGAAUACGUUCCCGGGUCUUGUACUCACCGCCCGUCACACCAUGGGAGUUGAUUUCAUUCGAAGCGGGGAUGCUAAAGUAGCUACCUUCCACAAUGGGAUUAGCGACUGGGGUGAAGUCGUAACAAGGUAACCGUAGGAGAACCUGCGGUUG